Molecule: small RNA, 119 nt
Filed under: Marmota monax (woodchuck)
Lineage: Eukaryota; Metazoa; Chordata; Mammalia; Rodentia; Sciuridae
Source: RNAcentral
GUCAGGCACAAUGGAGUGUGCCUGUAAUCCUAGCUUCUAGGAGACUGAGGCAGGAGGAUCACUUGAGGAGCUCAGAUGAUCCAAACUGGGUUAGGCAAUAUAGAAAGACCCUGUCUCAA